AGGUUGCCCUGUGACUGUGGGCGGGACCCCUCUCUGACUCCCCUGUGAAAUAGAAUGCAGUGAGGGCUCGGGUGGGCACUCAGACGGUGGCAGGAAGGCCCUGCCGCUGCUGCAGCCUUGCCAUGCUGCCUGUGCCCUGCACAGGUACAGAAGCCGAGGACGUGCUCGGGGAGCUAGAGUAUGACAAGGUGCCAUACUCCUCCCUGCGGCGCACCCUGGACCAGCGCCGGGCCCUGGUCAUGCAGCUCUUCCAGGACCAUGGCUUCUUUCCGUCAGCCCAGGCCACAGCCGCCUUCCAGGCCCGCUAUGCAGACAUCUUCCCCUCCAAGGUUUGUCUGCAGUUGAAGAUCCGUGAGGUGCGCCAGAAGAUCAUGCAGGCUGCCACUCCCACGGAGCAGCCCCCUGGAGCUGAGGCUCCUCUCCCUGUACCGCCUCCCACUGGCACCGCUGCUGCCCCU
This 458-nucleotide small RNA is filed under the name Pongo abelii (Sumatran orangutan). RNAcentral describes it as "retained intron". The record is from RNAcentral. Lineage: Eukaryota; Metazoa; Chordata; Mammalia; Primates; Hominidae.